GCCGGACAUCUCCCCCACAAGGGGGGAGAUCGGCUGGGGGCCGCCUGUUGCCCCUAUCAAACGCGGCAGCAGACCGACGCCGCGUGGCUCGCGAUCAAGAUUUUGUGGGGCCGGUGCAUCUUGCCGAUCUCCCCCCUUGAGGGGGAGAUGUCCGGC
This 156-nucleotide microRNA precursor is filed under the name Rhizobium esperanzae. RNAcentral's name for it is "microRNA MIR1846". Lineage: Bacteria; Pseudomonadati; Pseudomonadota; Alphaproteobacteria; Hyphomicrobiales; Rhizobiaceae. The record is from RNAcentral.